RNAcentral lists this long non-coding RNA (272 nucleotides) under Mytilus galloprovincialis (Mediterranean mussel). Lineage: Eukaryota; Metazoa; Mollusca; Bivalvia; Mytilida; Mytilidae. The record is from RNAcentral.
GUCGUCCUUGCUACAUGUAUGAUACGUUGUCACUUUUUCGGAGUAAAUAGUUGUUUCGUGCCAUGCUCUGUGUUCAUUUUAAUACGGGUAGGCAUUAUAUUUAUCAAUAUCUUAAUACCGAGCGUAAGCGUUGAAUUUGCCGGUGGAUCACCGACUUUCGGCAGGAAAACUGACAUUAUAUUCCGAGUUAAAUUAGAUUUUAGCCAACCACACCUGUCACGUGGGUGGUUCAGACUGUUUAACUCCGUGUUGACAUGCUUGUAGUACCAACA